RNAcentral lists this ribosomal RNA (388 nucleotides) under Stramenopiles sp. MAST-7B. RNAcentral describes it as "partial small subunit ribosomal RNA". It matches the Rfam family "Eukaryotic small subunit ribosomal RNA", at positions 582 to 975 of the family's 1831-position model. The record is from RNAcentral.
AUUCCAGCUCCAAUAGCGUAUAUUAAAGUUGUUGCAGUUAAAAAGCUCGUAGUUGGAUUUCUGGCGGGAGUCCGGGUCGGCCUUAACGGGUUGCACUGUUGUGACGUCUCGCCGUUUCGAGGGGAAUGGGCUCGCUAUUAGGUUAGUGUGUUCGGGAACCUCGUCGUUUACUGUGAAAAAAUUAGAGUGUUCAAAGCAGGCCUUUGCUGUGAAUACAUUAGCAUGGAAUAAUAAGAUAGGACUGUAGUGCUAUUUUGUUGGUUUGCGUACUAUGGUAAUGAUUAAUAGGGAUAGUUGGGGGUAUUCAUAUUCAAUUGUCAGAGGUGAAAUUCUUGGAUUUAUGGAAGAUGAACUACUGCGAAAGCAUUUACCAAGGACGUUUUCAUUG